RNAcentral lists this unclassified non-coding RNA (3435 nucleotides) under Drosophila mojavensis. Its description in RNAcentral is "GI21752". Lineage: Eukaryota; Metazoa; Arthropoda; Insecta; Diptera; Drosophilidae. The record is from RNAcentral.
AGAAACAAAAAUAUAGAACAAGAACAAAGAACAUAUCCAAAAAGGAAAGUAUCGCGUAGAUGUCGCUUAUUGCGUUGCGGCCGCAUAGAGAAAACAAUUGCAGAUCAAAUCAAAUCGAGUGAUCAGUGAAUAGUGAUAAAUAUUGCCAUAUAUACCUAUAUACAUAUAUACAAAGCUAUAUAUGUACAAUAAAAAUAUAAAGUGAAUUGGUAAACAACGAUAAAACUUCAACCGGCGAACCGAAACUUCGAAACACCCAAAGAGAGAGAGAGACAGAAAGAGAGCAACCCUGUAAAUUAAGCUUCCAAAGCAUUUGGGGUACACAACAACUUUGCCAAAGGGGCCCCAAAUUCUAUCCAAUCGCGCUCAGCCGCGAGCUGGUGCAGGCAUAACUACACUAGAGUGCUGCAUUCCUUGCAUUGCGUGCCCUGUGGCACAAGCGUCUGCUUCGAAUAGAAGAUGGCCUAUCGCGGCAUUAUCGGCAACAAUGAUGGUGCUGAUCGCAAUAACCAGGAUAACGAUUCAUUUGAUGACGUACUCACCGGUUCCAGCAAGGAUGUUGUGCCGUCAGUGCAGCAGCGCAACAAGCUACCAAAUGCCAAAGCUCGAAGCAACGCAACAAACAGCCAACGCAGCAUGCCGAUCUCAACGAAAUGCAAUUGCGAUAUGAUCGACUCAGCGGACACUGAUAAGCCAGAGGCCGAAAAUGAGCUAAGUAAUGAAAUUUCGGCACCAUAUGAAGUACCCCAGUUCCCAAUUGAGCAGAUUGAGAAGAAAUUACAAAUACAGCGCCUGCUAAAUGAGAAGCAAUCGACCUGUCAACGCUCGGCUGCGCCCAUUACAGCAUCGCCACGACGCAGCAGCUCGGAUUCGGAUGGUCUGACAGAGCAGGCAGUACCGAAACGUAGAACAGAUGCUGACAUUAAUUUUCAGCGUGUUUCCGUGUCCGGCGAGGAUACGAGCGGCGUGCCACUAGAGGAUCUGGAACGUGCAUCGACGCUACUUAUCGAGGCACUUAAGCUACGUGCCAAAUAUAUGCAAGUGUCGGAUCAAUCGUUCCCCACCACCACAGCACGUUUCCUCAAGACGGUGAGUCUGAAGGAUCGCUAUGAGAAUGUGCCAGUUAAGUCGGUUUCAGACAUAAUUCGCAAACAGAGUAUGGCGAACUAUACAGAGCAUCACACACUGAUGUCGCCCCUAAGAUCGAGACAUGCCUGGGACGUGGAGUUCGUGCCAGAUGAAUCGUAUUUCAUAAAGCCAGUGAAUGGAGUCUUUCACAUCUACAAUGAUAAGGAAUGCACGAGUGAACUGGACUUUUCGUAUCCAGAUAUGAAUCAGUUUGUGAAUGACAUGCAGGUCAUGUGCAAUAUGAUAGCUGAUGGGCCACUGAAAUCAUUUUGUUAUCGUCGCCUUUGCUAUUUGUCGUCCAAGUACCAGAUGCACGUUUUGUUGAAUGAGCUACGCGAAUUGGCCGCCCAGAAGGCUGUACCGCAUCGCGACUUUUACAACACUAGGAAAGUGGACACGCAUAUACAUGCAGCGUCCUGCAUGAAUCAGAAGCAUUUGCUGCGCUUCAUCAAGAAGACGCUGAAGAACAAUGCCAACGAGGUGGUCACCCACACGAACGGCCAGCCGAUGACACUGGCCCAGGUCUUUCAAUCGAUGAAUCUGACCACAUAUGAUCUAACCGUUGAUAUGCUGGAUGUUCAUGCUGAUCGCAAUACGUUCCAUCGCUUUGAUAAAUUCAAUUCCAAAUACAAUCCCAUUGGCGAGUCGCGCCUCAGGGAGGUCUUCCUCAAGACGGAUAAUUAUUUGAAUGGCAAAUACUUUGCACAAAUUAUAAAGGAAGUGGCUUUCGAUUUGGAGGAAUCGAAAUAUCAAAAUGCAGAGCUGCGUCUCUCCAUUUAUGGUAAAUCGCCCGAUGAGUGGAAUAAACUUGCCAAAUGGGCCAUCGAUAAUGAUGUCUAUAGCUCGAACAUACGUUGGUUGAUACAGAUACCGCGUCUAUUCGAUAUCUUCAAGUCGAACAAGAUGAUGACGUCAUUCCAGGAGAUAAUGAAUAACAUAUUUCUGCCGCUAUUCGAGGCGACCAACAAGCCAAGUGAAAAUGCUAAUUUACAUCGCUUCUUGACUUACGUGAUUGGUUUCGAUUCCGUGGAUGAUGAGUCCAAGCCAGAGAAUCCGCUAUUCGAUAGCGACGUGCCCCGGCCGGAGGAAUGGACGUACGAGGAUAAUCCACCGUAUGCUUACUACAUAUACUACAUGUUCGCCAAUAUGACGGUGCUAAACAAAUUUAGAAAGCAGCGCGGUCUGAACACAUUCGUGCUACGUCCUCAUUGCGGCGAGGCUGGACCUGUGCAGCAUCUCGUCUGUGGCUAUCUGAUGGCUGAGAACAUUUCGCACGGCCUGCUGCUGCGCAAGGUGCCGGUGCUGCAGUACCUCUACUACUUGACCCAAAUUGGCAUUGCUAUGUCGCCACUGUCGAACAAUUCGCUGUUUCUCAACUACCAUCGCAAUCCACUGCCAGAAUAUUUGGCUCGUGGACUGAUUAUCUCACUGUCCACCGAUGAUCCGUUGCAGUUUCACUUCACCAAGGAACCCCUCAUGGAGGAGUACAGCAUUGCAGCGCAGGUGUGGAAGCUCAGCUCCUGCGACAUGUGCGAGCUGGCACGCAAUAGCGUUAUUAUGAGCGGAUUUCCACAUAACAUCAAGCAACAGUGGCUGGGACCCAACUACUAUGAGGAUGGUAUCAAUGGCAACGACAUAACACGCACCAAUGUUCCAGAAAUUCGCGUCGCCUAUCGCUAUGAGACUUUGCUGGAUGAACUCUCCAACAUAUUUAAAGUGAAUCAAACCUGUCAUCAGAAGGACUCAGAUGAUAAAUGAUAGAUUCGAUAUAAAAUGCAAACCAUAUAUACUUGCUAUUAUUAUUAUAUACAUUAACAUUAACAUUAGUUAUACCAAAAUUCUACAAACUUAUAUACAGGGCAUUAGCUGGCAUUAGCAACGGUAACUUCGAUUUCCAGCGAGUGCAUCGAGUAAUCUUAGCAAAUGUGUUUAACGUGUACUUUUAUCCGUUGUAGGUAGAUUCUUAUUAUUAUUUUUUUUUUUUUCUUUUCUGAGCUGGUGCUGGUGUUGCCGCUGCAUUGCAAUUAAACUAGACAACAUUAUAUUUCAAAAACAAAAAACAAAAAAUCAAACAAAAAAAAUCUCCAAAGUGUAAACUCUAAAUAAAGCAAAACUGCAGAAUUUUAAAUAUUUGAUCAUUUAUUUAGCAAUUCAAAUUUAAAGGCCGCAAAUCUUGCGGCUAAUUUGAAAUCCACUCGGGCCAUCUUAAAUACAAUUGUUUUUAUUCUGCGAUGCUUGUGUUGCCGCUGUAUUUCAAUUAAGUUAGGCUAAAAUAAUAUUUGAAACAAUAAAUGUAUCUGAUGUGUA